This 253-nucleotide ribosomal RNA is filed under the name uncultured bacterium. RNAcentral's name for it is "partial 16S ribosomal RNA". It matches the Rfam family "Bacterial small subunit ribosomal RNA", at positions 524 to 776 of the family's 1533-position model. The record is from RNAcentral.
GCCGUAGGUGGCGAUCGUUAUCCGGAUUUACUGGGCGUAAAGCGCGUGCAGGCGGUUUGGUAAGUCGGGCGUGAAAUCUCCUGGCUCAACUGGGAGGGGUCGUCCGAAACUACCAGACUUGAGGGCAGUAGAGGGAGGUGGAAUUCCGGGUGUAGUGGUGAAAUGCGUAGAUAUCCGGAGGAACACCGGUGGCGAAAGCGGCCUCCUGGGCUGCCCCUGACGCUCAGACGCGAAAGCUAGGGGAGCGAACGGG